AAACUUGAUUCAACAGUACACAUACUAAAAUUGGGAUGAUACAAAGAUUAGCAGGGUUCAUAUGCGCAAGGAUGACACCCCAAAUUAUGUAGCGUUCCUUGCUUUU
This 106-nucleotide small nuclear RNA is filed under the name Trichobilharzia regenti. The record is from RNAcentral. Lineage: Eukaryota; Metazoa; Platyhelminthes; Trematoda; Strigeidida; Schistosomatidae.